RNAcentral lists this transfer RNA (73 nucleotides) under Agrilus planipennis (emerald ash borer). It matches the Rfam family "tRNA". Rfam says of the family: Transfer RNA (tRNA) molecules are approximately 80 nucleotides in length. Their secondary structure includes four short double-helical elements and three loops (D, anti-codon, and T loops). Further hydrogen bonds mediate the characteristic L-shaped molecular structure. tRNAs have two regions of fundamental functional importance: the anti-codon, which is responsible for specific mRNA codon recognition, and the 3' end, to which the tRNAs corresponding amino acid is attached (by aminoacyl-tRNA synthetases). tRNAs cope with the degeneracy of the genetic code in two manners: having more than one tRNA (with a specific anti-codon) for a particular amino acid; and 'wobble' base-pairing, i.e. permitting non-standard base-pairing at the 3rd anti-codon position. Lineage: Eukaryota; Metazoa; Arthropoda; Insecta; Coleoptera; Buprestidae. The record is from Rfam by way of RNAcentral.
ACGUUAAUGGUUCAAGUGGUAAAAUGCUCGUCUGCUACACGAAGCGUCCCGGGUUCGAUUCCCGGCCGAUGCA